Molecule: ribosomal RNA, 507 nt
Filed under: uncultured euryarchaeote
Lineage: Archaea; Methanobacteriati; Methanobacteriota
Description: bacterial SSU rRNA
Rfam family: Archaeal small subunit ribosomal RNA
Source: RNAcentral
GGGGUGCAGCAGGCGCGAAAACUUCACACUGCGCGAAAGCGCGAUGAGGGAAUCCCAAGUGUAUGCACGUAAGCGUAUUCUGUUUCUAUGUAUAAAAAGCAUAGAGAAUAAGGGCUGGGUAAGACGGGUNCCAGCCGCCGCGGUAAUACCUGCAGCUCAAGUGGUGGCCGCUUUUAUUGGGCCUAAAACGUCCGUAGCCGGUCUUAUAAAUGCCUGGGUAAAUCGUACGUCUUAACCGUACGAAUUCUUGGUAGACUGUNAGACUUGAGACCGGGAGAGGUUAGAGGUACUCCUGGGGUAGAGGUGAAAUUCUGUAAUCCUAGGGGGACCACCAGUGGCGAAGGCGUCUAACUAGAACGGGUCUGACGGUGAGGGACGAAGCCCUGGGGCGCAAACCGGAUUAGAUACCCGGGUAGUCCAGGCGUGUAAACGCUGCUUGCUUGAUGUUAGUCGGGCUCCGAGCCCGAUUAGUGUCGUAGGAAAGAUGUUAAGCAAGCUGCCUGGAAG